UAUUAAAUAGCUUAAAGUAAGCAUUGGAAUUUUAAACCAACUAUAAUAAUUAACGAUUAUUUUUAAUAA
RNAcentral lists this transfer RNA (69 nucleotides) under Agonita chinensis. RNAcentral describes it as "tRNA-Lys". Lineage: Eukaryota; Metazoa; Arthropoda; Insecta; Coleoptera; Chrysomelidae. The record is from RNAcentral.